UAAGCCCAUUCUUUAUGGAUGAUGGAUCAUCAAAUGGGUUUGUGGAUGGCACAAUUAAAGUGUUAGAAUGAGGCAUUAUAAUGCAUAUAUGAAAACGGGACAAAAAAAAGACGAUCAACAAGGAGGAAAUCAAUGGAUAAAUUAAUGCAAGGAAAAAAGUAAAAUAAAGAAUGAAAUGCGGAUACUGAAGGAAACCUGUUUUUUUUCUAGAGAAACAACAACAAUGGGCCGCAAGUUCGAACAGAACGGGCCAAAAAAUUCAAAAGAUAGGAAAGAAAAUAUGAGUUUCAGAAAUAAAUAGAAUUUGCUCCCACAAAAAUUAGCAAAAAGGCUAUUUUUAUUUAGCGGAUUUGCAAUUGUCGCCUUUAACAAUCAAAAUACAAUCAACAAUUAUAAGCGUUGCUUCCGGUAAAGGAAUGUUUCACUAACAAUAUUCUUACAAAUGUAAAAACAUUUGAAGAUGUUUUGAAGACUUUGUCCGACGAUAGUUAAGAUUAUCCUGAACCUUUAAUCAGACUUCAAUGGACAAGUCUAUUAAGAACUGAUUUCUUUUAACAAGUGUUUACACGCACAAUUGAAUCAGUGUACUAUUUAUGCUUAUGGAAAUCUUGGAAUUACAAUAGAGGUUGGGUAUAAGUUUAUCUGCUACAAGCUCGAAAGCGAUCUUGAAAAUAAAGAUCGAUAUAAGCCUCUUAAAGAGCCUCUCGUUACCUUGCCCAAU
This is a non-coding RNA of Schizosaccharomyces pombe (fission yeast), 721 nucleotides long. The record is from the annotation of a GenBank genome assembly. NCBI's taxonomy places the organism in Eukaryota, Fungi, Ascomycota, Schizosaccharomycetes, Schizosaccharomycetales, Schizosaccharomycetaceae.